AGCGAACGCUGGCGGCAGGCUUAACACAUGCAAGUCGAGCGGGCGUAGCAAUACGUCAGCGGCAGACGGGUGAGUAACGCGUGGGAACAUACCUUUUGGUUCGGAACAACACAGGGAAACUUGUGCUAAUACCGGAUAAGCCCUUACGGGGAAAGAUUUAUCGCCGAAAGAUUGGCCCGCGUCUGAUUAGCUAGUUGGUGAGGUAACGGCUCACCAAGGCGACGAUCAGUAGCUGGUCNGAGAGGAUGAUCAGCCACAUUGGGACUGAGACACGGCCCAAACUCCUACGGGAGGCAGCAGUGGGGAAUAUUGGACAAUGGGCGCAAGCCUGAUCCAGCCAUGCCGCGUGAGUGAUGAAGGCCCUAGGGUUGUAAAGCUCUUUUGUCAGGGAAGAAACGGGCCGGGCUAAUACCUUGGCCUAAUGACGGUACCUGAAGAAUAAGCACCGGCUAACUACGUGCCAGCAGCCGCCGCUGUAAC
This 480-nucleotide ribosomal RNA is filed under the name uncultured bacterium. RNAcentral describes it as "bacterial SSU rRNA". It matches the Rfam family "Bacterial small subunit ribosomal RNA", at positions 29 to 526 of the family's 1533-position model. The record is from RNAcentral.